Molecule: ribosomal RNA, 254 nt
Filed under: uncultured bacterium
Lineage: Bacteria
Description: partial 16S ribosomal RNA
Rfam family: Bacterial small subunit ribosomal RNA
Source: RNAcentral
UACGAAGGGGGCUAGCGUUGCUCGGAAUCACUGGGCGUAAAGGGUGCGUAGGCGGGUCUUUAAGUCAGGGGUGAAAUCCUGGAGCUCAACUCCAGAACUGCCUUUGAUACUGAGGAUCUUGAGUUCGGGAGAGGUGAGUGGAACUGCGAGUGUAGAGGUAGAAUUGAUAGAUAUUCGCAAGAACACCAGUGGCGAAGGCGGCUCACUGGCCCGAUACUGACGCUGAGGCACGAAAGCGUGGGGAGCCAAACAGG